RNAcentral lists this unclassified non-coding RNA (396 nucleotides) under plant metagenome. RNAcentral's name for it is "partial contains 5.8S ribosomal RNA, internal transcribed spacer 2, and large subunit ribosomal RNA". The record is from RNAcentral.
GGAGGCGGCUGAGCGCUCGACCGGGACCAAGCGCGUCGUGAUCAAGGGCAAGGCAGUCUCGGAGUGUGGCGACGCCCGAAAGCUCGCGAUCUGGAACACCGGUCCCGGCAUGACCGCGAGCGACCUGCUCCACAUCUGCGAUUUGGCGGCCUCGAUCGGCAAGGACAUGGGGCUAAGCGGCAAUUUCGGAAUGGGUGCAAAGGUCGCGUCGCUGCCGUCGAACCCCCUGGGAAUGCGGUACCGCUCCUGUCGUGACGGCGUCGUCAGUCAGGUGAUCCUCGGCAAGCGAAACGGACGGUACGGCCGCGUGUGGGUCCCUGUGCUCGAUGAGGAGACUGGCGAGGAGCGAUCCGAGGAGGUCGUGGACAUGACCGACGCCGUCCGCGAGGAGGCUGA